Molecule: ribosomal RNA, 483 nt
Filed under: uncultured bacterium
Lineage: Bacteria
Description: bacterial SSU rRNA
Rfam family: Bacterial small subunit ribosomal RNA
Source: RNAcentral
AUUGAACGCUGGCGGCAUGCUUUACACAUGCAAGUCGAACGGUAACAGGGAGCUUGCUCCGCUGACGAGUGGCGAACGGGUGAGUAAUAUAUCGGAACGUACCCAAGAGUGGGGGAUAACGUAGCGAAAGUUACGCUAAUACCGCAUACGAUCUAUGGAUGAAAGUGGGGAUCGCAAGACCUCAUGCUCCUGGAGCGGCCGAUAUCUGAUUAGCUAGUUGGUGAGGUAAAGGCUCACCAAGGCGACGAUCAGUAGCUGGUCUGAGAGGACGACCAGCCACACUGGAACUGAGACACGGUCCAGACUCCUACGGGAGGCAGCAGUGGGGAAUUUUGGACAAUGGGCGCAAGCCUGAUCCAGCAAUGCCGCGUGAGUGAAGAAGGCCUUCGGGUUUGUAAAGCUCUUUUGUCAGGGAAGAAACGGGACUAGCUAAUAUCUGGUCCUAAUGACGGUACCUGAAGAAUAAGCACCGGCUAACUACGU